UAGGCUGCAACCCGCCUGCGUGAAGUUGGAAUUGCUAGUAAUCGCGGAUCAGCAUGCCGCGGUGAAUACGUUCCCGGGCCUUGUACACACCGCCCGUCACACCAUGGAAGUCGGUAAUGCCCGAAGUCAGUAGCCUAACCGCAAGGAGGGCGCUGCCGAAGGCAGGAUUGAUGACUGGGGUGAAGUCGUAACAAGGUAUC
This 200-nucleotide ribosomal RNA is filed under the name uncultured bacterium. Its description in RNAcentral is "partial 16S ribosomal RNA". It matches the Rfam family "Bacterial small subunit ribosomal RNA", at positions 1301 to 1500 of the family's 1533-position model. The record is from RNAcentral.